RNAcentral lists this ribosomal RNA (737 nucleotides) under uncultured bacterium. RNAcentral describes it as "bacterial SSU rRNA". It matches the Rfam family "Bacterial small subunit ribosomal RNA", at positions 1 to 739 of the family's 1533-position model. The record is from RNAcentral.
UAGAGUUUGAUCCUGGCUCAGAUUGAACGCUGGCGGCAGGCCUAACACAUGCAAGUCGAGCGGAUGAGAGGAGCUUGCUCCUUAAUUCAGCGGCGGACGGGUGAGUAAUGCCUAGGAAUCUGCCUGGUAGUGGGGGACAACGUUUCGAAAGGAACGCUAAUACCGCAUACGUCCUACGGGAGAAAGCAGGGGACCUUCGGGCCUUGCGCUAUCAGAUGAGCCUAGGUCGGAUUAGCUAGUUGGUGAGGUAAUGGCUCACCAAGGCGACGAUCCGUAACUGGUCUGAGAGGAUGAUCAGUCACACUGGAACUGAGACACGGUCCAGACUCCUACGGGAGGCAGCAGUGGGGAAUAUUGGACAAUGAGCGAAAGCCUGAUCCAGCCAUGCCGCGUGUGUGAAGAAGGUCUUCGGAUUGUAAAGCACUUUAAGUUGGGAGGAAGGGCAGUAAAUUAAUACUUUGCUGUUUUGACGUUACCGACAGAAUAAGCACCGGCUAACUCUGUGCCAGCAGCCGCGGUAAUACAGAGGGUGCAAGCGUUAAUCGGAAUUACUGGGCGUAAAGCGCGCGUAGGUGGUUCGUUAAGUUGGAUGUGAAAUCCCCGGGCUCAACCUGGGAACUGCAUUCAAAACUGUCGAGCUAGAGUAUGGUAGAGGGUGGUGGAAUUUCCUGUGUAGCGGUGAAAUGCGUAGAUAUAGGAAGGAACACCAGUGGCGAAGGCGACCACCUGGACUGAUA